CUUUCAUUGCAUUUCCCACUGGAGGGGAAACGAAUCGAGCUAACGACACGGGGAACUUCGUUUUAAGCCGAUUUACUAUUAUGCACGGAUGAUUUGCUGACACGGACAAGGUUGCCAAUGCACCAGCCUCAGAUUUUACCAGGAGGGUGGAUUUUAUAUGUGCAGGGAGUUUUGCGGCUGCAUCUGACGGCCAAACUGUGCCGGGAGCUUCCUGCCUACGUAAGCACGGGGAGAUGCUCCGUGGAUCAGAGGCUGCAAUGUAAAGGAAUCUCACGGCUUAGGAUAACAUGUACUUAUACGGCCGGGGCAAUUUCCCCUGGAAUGCAGAGCGGUGGUUACAAAAGAAAUCCAAACAGCGUCGAAGACGGGGCUCGGAGCGGAUACGCGGGCAACGGCGACCUGCGUCCUCGUUAGGAAAGAGCCAUCGCACGUGCACAGGAACUCAGAGCAACAUCACACGGCAAAUCCCAGUCUAUAAUCCCUCCACGAUGGGCCCAGACAGAUGUGGAAGCCACGGAAGAGAAGCCAAGGACCCAACCGAUGUGCUUCGUGGAGCUGUCGCAGUCCCAACAACUGGCCUCGCCUGGAAAAUCUGAUUUCAUUGUGAAAGGAGUCCUUAUGAAUCAAUAGAGCAAAGAGAACGUGGGAUGUUUGCCGUAAAUCAUCCUGGAAGCAGAGACAGCUAGCAAAUGAGUUACAAGAACAAGCAGAUAAUCCCAGUCAUUUCCAGAUGGAAAGCGGAUGCAUUUUCCAUGCCCUGUAUCUGGUUCGUGUGUCACAACCCCCUGCCUCUGGUAUAUAUUUAAAGCACUUUCUUUCCCUCCUGGAGGGCGACGGUUAUGUGAAACGAGGUUCCAAAAUUGCAAAAAUUGCCUAGAAGCAUUCAAAAGCUGGGCUGGUCCCAGGGAAACUUUCACAAAGCCUUGUGCUCUCUCUAUAUAUAUCUUAUUUAGUUAGUCGAUAGAGGUGCACAUCUACCCUGCCCUCCGACUUCCUACAGCAGGCCAGUUGGCAAGCGCCGCGAUAACCUAGAGUAGAUGAUGUCCGGCUGGGAGAAGAACAUGAGUCUUCAUUGUCCUGCGCCUUUGGCCAAUGCAACGUGGUGGUAACGUGCAAGUAGAGAUGAAUGAGGAGACCACCAGCAGAGCCAGACUGGGUCCGACCUUGGUCCAUCUGUCCCAGUAUCCUAUCUCGCACAGUGGCAGGGGUGGAUGCUAUGCAGGGAGAGCAGCAUGAUCCAUCCUUUAGUCAAUACUCACCCUUUACUGGUCAAGAGAUGCCGGAGGAAACACCUCUGCCCAAGAGCCAUGAAUGCAUGGCUCCUCCAUGCACGUAUCCAGUCCCUCGCUGACCCUGGCUCUGCUCUCGGCCUCCACCCCGUCCUGCGGCAAUGAAUCCCACACGUUAACCAUGCAUUGCAUAAAAAAAAGUCCUUUCUCUUGUUCAUUUUCAACCCAUCACCUGCUCGUUUCAGCGGUGCCCCCUGGUUCUAGCAUUCGGGGAGGUGGGGAACAGCAGUUCCCUAUUCAUUUGGUCCACAGCCUUCAUGACACUAUAGACCUCUACCCUCUCCUUUCCAAGCUGGAGAGUCCCAGCCUCCCCCGGUCUGGCAGCUGCUCCAGACCCCCGAUCAUCUUGCCUGCCCUUUGCUAGUUGUACUUCAUCUUUCCAGUACUGCCCAUUGCAACCAGUCCACACCACAGCAUCUCAAGAUUUAAGGCAGGGACCCAGACGGGGCUCUGGCUCUGGGCAGAGGAGGCACGGCUGGGUGCAAUCCUGCUUGGUGUCUCCAGGCUGCCGGGUAUAGCAGCGGGCAUCUGGUUUUUUUCCAGGCUUCUGGGCUUUGCUUGCUGCUACAUGGGAUCAGGAAAGUUGCUUUUCCCCCUCCUGUUGCUGCAGGUGUUGGGGUUUUUUUCUCUCUUCCUCAGCAGUGCUGGGUGGGGAUUAAACCCUGCGGAGUCCUGGCUAAAGGCUCUUGCCCCUUUGCUCAGGUUCGGACCAAUGUUGCAUUGGUGACCGGCGGGAAUUUCCUCCCUUGUUUAAACCAGCAUGGACUGGGGGGGUUCCCCUCCCUCUGCAGGGGUGCACGAGCUCUCUGCAGCGCCCACCACCCCCCUGGCAGGAGCAGGACAUUGGCAGCCACAGCCCCCCCGUAUUCCAGGGGCAGGGGCAGGGGCGGGGGCGAU
Molecule: long non-coding RNA, 2186 nt
Organism: Alligator mississippiensis (American alligator)
Lineage: Eukaryota; Metazoa; Chordata; Crocodylia; Alligatoridae
Exons: 3
Source: RefSeq, a predicted model, not a curated record